Thalassophryne amazonica is the source of this 141-nucleotide long non-coding RNA. RefSeq lists it as uncharacterized. NCBI's taxonomy places the organism in Eukaryota, Metazoa, Chordata, Actinopteri, Batrachoidiformes, Batrachoididae. The record is from RefSeq and is a predicted model, not a curated record. The transcript has 3 exons.
ACCCCUGACUGGGUCACCCGGGUGACGGUGUCUGAUGUAAGACCCGAAACACCCUAUGACCCCGGGUACAUCACUGAAGAUGUGUCCAGGUUGCACCACAAGGUGUAUUCUAUAACUUGAGUUAUAUUAUGUGACCUUCUG